Long non-coding RNA from Lutzomyia longipalpis, 614 nucleotides. RefSeq lists it as uncharacterized. The transcript is spliced from 2 exons. NCBI's taxonomy places the organism in Eukaryota, Metazoa, Arthropoda, Insecta, Diptera, Psychodidae. The record is from RefSeq and is a predicted model, not a curated record.
AGUUUCAAGAUUACAGUCAUUCCGCUUAGAUCGUGUUAAUUUUUUCAAAGAAGUCUCCUUGUUGGGAAAAAUGUCGGCAAUUAGAUCGGGAAUUUUUGUUAUUGCUCUAGCAAUUGUAAUCUCUGGUCAAAUCCUUCGUCACCCUCCGAGCACGCAUCCCGAUUACCCAGGACAUUGCUGGAUUGCUGAUCUCAAACAGGCUGUUAGGGGUGGCUCAGAAUGGAGUGAUCGACAAAACUGUGUCAGAUAUUCAUGCUUUGCUCAUGAUUACUCCUACGAAAUUGAUGGAUGUGGAAAAAUGGCUAUUCCAGAUACUUGUAAACCUACUCCUAUUGAUACCACGAAGGAUUACCCAGAUUGCUGCCCCAAGUUUACAUGCAACUAAACUAAAUCCACAUAAAGCACAUAUUUAACAUACUUUGGUAAUGAUCCAUGCUGAUGUUGUGCCCUUAUCUGUUUGAUGAAAUUUAUUUACUAAACAGAGUUGAAGUUUUUUAAAAGAUUAGAACUUUUAAGAGGAAUUCAGCUUCUAACUUACUUUUUAUUUAAAAAUUAAAAAAUGGUGCUAAAAAAUUUAAUGAUUUUUACAAAUAAAUUAAAAAUGCAUUUACAGA